RNAcentral lists this ribosomal RNA (253 nucleotides) under uncultured bacterium. RNAcentral describes it as "partial 16S ribosomal RNA". It matches the Rfam family "Bacterial small subunit ribosomal RNA", at positions 524 to 776 of the family's 1533-position model. The record is from RNAcentral.
UACAGAGGUCUCAAGCGUUGUUCGGAUUCAUUGGGCGUAAAGGGUGCGUAGGCGGUUCUGAAAGUCUGAUGUGAAAUCUCCAGGCCCAACCUGGAAACUGCAUUAGAAACUACAGGGCUAGAGGCUUGGAGGGGGAACUGGAAUUCUCGGUGUAGCAGUGAAAUGCGUAGAGAUCGAGAGGAACACCAGUGGCGAAGGCGAGUUCCUGGACAAGUCCUGACGCUGAGGCACGAAAGCCAGGGGAGCAAACAGG